RNAcentral lists this ribosomal RNA (253 nucleotides) under uncultured bacterium. RNAcentral describes it as "partial 16S ribosomal RNA". It matches the Rfam family "Bacterial small subunit ribosomal RNA", at positions 524 to 776 of the family's 1533-position model. The record is from RNAcentral.
UACGGGGGGAGCAAGCGUUGUUCGGAUUUACUGGGCGUAAAGGGCGCGUAGGCGGCACCGCAAGUCAGUUGUGAAAUCUCUGGGCUUAACCCAGAAAGGUCAACUGAUACUGCGGGGCUAGAGUGCAGAAGGGGCAACUGGAAUUCUCGGUGUAGCGGUGAAAUGCGUAGAUAUCGAGAGGAACACCUGCGGCGAAGGCGGGUUGCUGGGCUGACACUGACGCUGAUGCGCGAAAGCGUGGGGAGCAAACAGG